Long non-coding RNA from Culex quinquefasciatus (southern house mosquito), 714 nucleotides. RefSeq lists it as uncharacterized. The transcript has 2 exons. NCBI's taxonomy places the organism in Eukaryota, Metazoa, Arthropoda, Insecta, Diptera, Culicidae. The record is from RefSeq and is a predicted model, not a curated record.
CAAACGAUGUUUGUAAACAUCAAAAUCAGCUGUUCAUUCAAAACAAGCUGAUUUUGUUGAAGUUUUCGAUUCGAGGAAUGAUUCGCAUGGAGAAACUUCGCGAUUGGUGGACAAAUCGGAAAAUAAUUGUAUUUGGGUGGCUAAGCGCUUUGUUCGAAGAGGAAACCUUCCCAUAGAAGCAAGUUCUGCCGAUGUACGUCAAGAAGGAAUACAAGCGAUGCCGUUUUGGGGAACGAUUUCUUCCGGACGGACGACGACAGGUCAAGAUUCGCAAGAAGGGCAGCUAGGCACUCGAUCGUUCCUUCCGGAAAAAUGCAAACAGCACAGUGAUUACAAAAGUCAACGGUACAAGGGCAUCAUCAAGCCUACCAACUCUUCGAACCGGAAGGAAUGCCUGAGUGGAUGAUCCUGCAGGGACUAUUGCUGAAUAUGAUGCUGAUGCCAUCAGGACACACUCCGAACUGGAACCUGGAAAGCAUGUUGAUGCUGAACGGCAGGGACUGCCGCUAAAUUUGAUGCUGGUACCAACCUGGAACCUGAUGGCGAACAUGCUGACGAGCUGGCCGAGUGCGGAGCUACGAUCGAAGGAUAAUCACGGACGUUCUCGGCGAUUUUAACGAACAGGUUAACCAAUAAAACCAGAGAAAGUGCAACAUUUUGUGUAUUUUGUGAAAUGUAUUGUGUGAUAUUAGAUCAGUAAAAAAAUGAAGAAAA